This 467-nucleotide ribosomal RNA is filed under the name uncultured bacterium. RNAcentral describes it as "partial 16S ribosomal RNA". It matches the Rfam family "Bacterial small subunit ribosomal RNA", at positions 28 to 506 of the family's 1533-position model. The record is from RNAcentral.
GACGAACGCUGGCGGCGUGCUUAACACAUGCAAGUCGAACGGAAAGGCCCUGCUUUUGUGGGGUGCUCGAGUGGCGAACGGGUGAGUAACACGUGAGUAACCUGCCCUUGACUUUGGGAUAACUUCAGGAAACUGGGGCUAAUACCGGAUAGGAGCUCCUGCUGCAUGGUGGGGGUUGGAAAGUUUCGGCGGUUGGGGAUGGACUCGCGGCUUAUCAGCUUGUUGGUGGGGUAGUGGCUUACCAAGGCUUUGACGGGUAGCCGGCCUGAGAGGGUGACCGGCCACAUGGGGACAGGGAUACGGCCAGGGCGCAUACGGGGGGCAGCAGUGGGGAAUAUUGCAAGAUGGGCGGAAGCCUGAUGCAGCAACGCCGCGUGCGGGAUGACGGCCUUCGGGUGGUAAACCGCUUUCGCCUGUGACGAAGCGUGAGUGACGGUAAUGGGUAAAGAAGCACCGGCUAACUACGU